UCCCUGGUAGUCCAGUGGCUAAGACUCUGCACUCCCAAUGCAGCGGGGGGGCCCAGGUUAGAUCCCUGGCCAGGGAA
Molecule: non-coding RNA, 77 nt
Organism: Bubalus bubalis (water buffalo)
Lineage: Eukaryota; Metazoa; Chordata; Mammalia; Artiodactyla; Bovidae
Source: the annotation of a RefSeq genome assembly